This 477-nucleotide ribosomal RNA is filed under the name uncultured bacterium. RNAcentral describes it as "partial 16S ribosomal RNA". It matches the Rfam family "Bacterial small subunit ribosomal RNA", at positions 29 to 507 of the family's 1533-position model. The record is from RNAcentral.
AUGAACGCUGGCGGCGUGCUUAACACCUGCAAGUCGAACGGGAAACCUUUUAAUGAAGCUUCGGCAGAUUUAGCUGGUUUCUAGUGGCGGACGGGUGAGUAACGCGUGGGUAACCUGCCUUAUACAGGGGGAUAACAGUCAGAAAUGACUGCUAAUACCGCAUAAGCGCACAGGACCGCAUGGUCCGGUGUGAAAAACUCCGGUGGUAUAAGAUGGACCCGCGUUGGAUUAGCUUGUUGGUGGGGUAACGGCUCACCAAGGCGACGAUCCAUAGCCGGCCUGAGAGGGUGAGCGGCCACAUUGGGACUGAGACACGGCCCAGAAUCCUACGGGAAGCAGCAGUGGGGAAUAUUGCACAAUGGGGGAAACCCUGAUGCAGCGACGCCGCGUGAAGGAAGAAGUAUCUCGGUAUGUAAACUUCUAUCAGCAGGGAAGAUAGUGACGGUACCUGACGAAGAAGCCCCGGCUAACUACGUG